RNAcentral lists this ribosomal RNA (367 nucleotides) under Salmonella enterica. Its description in RNAcentral is "partial 16S ribosomal RNA". It matches the Rfam family "Bacterial small subunit ribosomal RNA", at positions 80 to 447 of the family's 1533-position model. The record is from RNAcentral. Lineage: Bacteria; Pseudomonadati; Pseudomonadota; Gammaproteobacteria; Enterobacterales; Enterobacteriaceae. RNAcentral also lists the same sequence under 1 other name.
UUGCUGCUUCGCUGACGAGUGGCGGACGGGUGAGUAAUGUCUGGGAAACUGCCUGAUGGAGGGGGAUAACUACUGGAAACGGUGGCUAAUACCGCAUAACGUCGCAAGACCAAAGAGGGGGACCUUCGGGCCUCUUGCCAUCAGAUGUGCCCAGAUGGGAUUAGCUAGUUGGUGAGGUAACGGCUCACCAAGGCGACGAUCCCUAGCUGGUCUGAGAGGAUGACCAGCCACACUGGAACUGAGACACGGUCCAGACUCCUACGGGAGGCAGCAGUGGGGAAUAUUGCACAAUGGGCGCAAGCCUGAUGCAGCCAUGCCGCGUGUAUGAAGAAGGCCUUCGGGUUGUAAAGUACUUUCAGCGGGGAGG